UGUGGACUCGAGUCAUGUGACUUGGACUCGAGUCAGACUCGAGUCAUGAAUUUGAUGACUUCAGACUCGACUUGGACUUGCAUAACAAUGACUUUGUCCCACCUCUGGUCCAAAGCGCACUGGCAGGAGAGCACGGGACGGACCCAGGUGGACGGAGGUGACCGGUAGACCAAGUGCUGUCGUUUUACACACGGCUCUGAAGUCAUUUACGUGCUCAUUUGAGGCCGAGUCGACCUAGGGGAGGCCCCAGGACAAGUUCCGAUUAUCCGCCACACCGAUGUCAGUCGUGUCCUGGAAACGAACUGAGAUCGCCAGACGUCCACUAGUUUGCUCGUAGCAUCGACGUGUAGCCGAGGAUCAUUGCACCGACAUCCAUCAAAAUCAGCCGCUGGCGACCUUCACGCACCGAAUCGCUGCCGCCCGUUGGGGGCCGACGAGAGGCACCCCGCUCUGCGGUGAAUGUGCCCCCCGCGCGCCUGCGCUGCUCCCCCACCACGGAGAGCAACACGGGGGGGUGGCACGCGCGCUAACCGCUACACUCCGGCUCCCCCCCCCCGACUGUGCCACGUACAAAGGCAAAGAUACCCCGUGUAGCCUUAACAGAUUGUAGGGGCAAGUGCUGUUAGCGAGCAGCACCUAUAAA
Long non-coding RNA from Lethenteron reissneri (Far Eastern brook lamprey), 643 nucleotides. RefSeq lists it as uncharacterized. The record is from RefSeq and is a predicted model, not a curated record. Lineage: Eukaryota; Metazoa; Chordata; Hyperoartia; Petromyzontiformes; Petromyzontidae.